RNAcentral lists this ribosomal RNA (617 nucleotides) under uncultured Actinomycetes bacterium. Its description in RNAcentral is "bacterial SSU rRNA". It matches the Rfam family "Bacterial small subunit ribosomal RNA", at positions 557 to 1174 of the family's 1533-position model. The record is from RNAcentral. Lineage: Bacteria; Bacillati; Actinomycetota; Actinomycetes.
GGCGUAAAGAGCUCGUAGGCGGUUUGUCGCGUCUGCUGUGAAAAUCCAAGGCUCAACCUUGGACCUGCAGUGGGUACGGGCAGACUAGAGUGCGGUAGGGGAGAUGGGAAUUCCUGGUGUAGCGGUGGAAUGCGCAGAUAUCAGGAGGAACACCAAUGGCGAAGGCACAUCUCUGGGCCGUAACUGACGCUGAGGAGCGAAAGCGUGGGGAGCGAACAGGAUUAGAUACCCUGGUAGUCCACGCCGUAAACGGUGGGUGCUAGUUGUGGGCCACAUUCCACGUGGUCCGUGACGAAGUUAACACAUUAAGCACCCCGCCUGGGGAGUACGGUCGCAAGACUAAAACUCAAAGGAAUUGACGGGGGCCCGCACAAGCGGCGGAGCAUGCGGAUUAAUUCGAUGCAACGCGAAGAACCUUACCAAGGCUUGACAUAUAGAGGAAACGUGCAGAAAUGUACGCCCCGCAAGGUCUCUAUACAGGUGGUGCAUGGUUGUCGUCAGCUCGUGUCGUGAGAUGUUGGGUUAAGUCCCGCAACGAGCGCAACCCUCGUCCUAUGUUGCCAGCACGUAAUGGUGGGAACUCAUGGGAGACUGCCGGGGUCAACUCGGAGGAAGGU